GACUCAGAUGGAUUCCAGAAGAAGCA
Molecule: non-coding RNA, 26 nt
Filed under: Homo sapiens (human)
Lineage: Eukaryota; Metazoa; Chordata; Mammalia; Primates; Hominidae
Source: RNAcentral